ACCCUGAUCCGAUCUCAAAACGACUCAAUCAAACCUAUUAUUGCGGCCAACUCUCCAUCGUCUAUCAUCAGGAACGAACACCUGCAAAACAACAUCCGCACUUACCGGAUUUGUGUCCGACGGGAACCCUCUGAUGCUUAAAUUAGAAAAAAAAAUUGGUGAACAGUAGAUAUCAAUAUUCAAAGUAACAGAGUUCUGGCCAGAAGUGGCUUACCAGUCCUAUUUUCUUUAUCUCCUUUUAUAGACG
RNAcentral lists this long non-coding RNA (247 nucleotides) under Elaeis guineensis (African oil palm). RNAcentral describes it as "long non-coding RNA (EGUI_LNC077730)". Lineage: Eukaryota; Viridiplantae; Streptophyta; Magnoliopsida; Arecales; Arecaceae. The record is from RNAcentral.